RNAcentral lists this ribosomal RNA (497 nucleotides) under uncultured bacterium. Its description in RNAcentral is "partial 16S ribosomal RNA". It matches the Rfam family "Bacterial small subunit ribosomal RNA", at positions 28 to 507 of the family's 1533-position model. The record is from RNAcentral.
GAUGAACGCUGGCGGCGUGCCUAAUACAUGCAAGUCGAGCGAACAGAUGAGGAGCUUGCUCCUCUGACGUUAGCGGCGGACGGGUGAGUAACACGUGGAUAACCUACCUAUAAGACUGGGAUAACUUCGGGAAACCGGAGCUAAUACCGGAUAAUAUGUUGAACCGCAUGGUUCAAUAGUGAAAGACGGUUUUGCUGUCACUUAUAGAUGGAUCCGCGCCGCAUUAGCUAGUUGGUAAGGUAACGGCUUACCAAGGCAACGAUGCGUAGCCGACCUGAGAGGGUGAGCGGCCACCCUGGAACUGAGACACGGUCCAGACUCCUACGGGAGGCAGCAGUAGGGAAUCUUCCGCAAUGGGCGAAAGCCUGACGGAGCACCGCCGCGUGAGUGAUGAAGGUCUUCGGAUCGUAAAACUCUGUUAUUAGGGAAGAACAAAUGUGUAAGUAACUAUGCACGUCUUGACGGUACCUAAUCAGAAAGCCACGGCUAACUACGUG